This 390-nucleotide ribosomal RNA is filed under the name Chlamydomonas sp. MACC 475. RNAcentral describes it as "SSU rRNA". It matches the Rfam family "Eukaryotic small subunit ribosomal RNA", at positions 612 to 1015 of the family's 1831-position model. Lineage: Eukaryota; Viridiplantae; Chlorophyta; Chlorophyceae; Chlamydomonadales; Chlamydomonadaceae. The record is from RNAcentral.
GUSSSUKGUUGCAGUUAAAGCUCGUAGUUGGAUUUCGGGUGGGUUCUAGCGGUCCGCCUCUGGUGAGUACUGCUCGGGCCUACCUUUCUGCCGGGGACGGGCUCCUGGGCUUCACUGUCCGGGACUCGGAAUCGGCGAGGUUACUUUGAGUAAAUUAGAGUGUUCAAAGCAAGCCUACGCUCUGAAUACAUUAGCAUGGAAUAACACGAUAGGACUCUGGCCUAUCUUGUUGGUCUGUAGGACCGGAGUAAUGAUUAAGAGGGACAGUCGGGGGCAUUCGUAUUUCAUUGUCAGAGGUGAAAUUCUUGGAUUUAUGAAAGACGAACUUCUGCGAAAGCAUUUGCCAAGGAUGUUUUCAUUAAUCAAGAACGAAAGUUGGGGGCUCGAAGA